RNAcentral lists this microRNA (20 nucleotides) under Ectocarpus siliculosus. RNAcentral's name for it is "esi-miR3456-3p". The record is from miRBase by way of RNAcentral. Lineage: Eukaryota; Phaeophyceae; Ectocarpales; Ectocarpaceae.
UUGGCCUGCGAGAAGUGCUU